RNAcentral lists this ribosomal RNA (521 nucleotides) under uncultured bacterium. RNAcentral's name for it is "bacterial SSU rRNA". It matches the Rfam family "Bacterial small subunit ribosomal RNA", at positions 8 to 518 of the family's 1533-position model. The record is from RNAcentral.
AGAGUUUGAUUAUGGCUCAGGAUGAACGCUAGCUACAGGCUUAACACAUGCAAGUCGAGGGGCAGCAGGACGAUAGCUUGCUAUUGUUGCUGGCGACCGGCGCACGGGUGAGUAACGCGUAUCCAACCUUCCCUUAGUAGGGCAUAGCCCGGUGAAAAUCGGAUUAAUACCCUAUGUUGUGUCAUGAGGACGUCUGAAUAACACUAAAGAUUUUAUCGCUAAGGGAUGGGGAUGCGUCCGAUUAGGUAGUCGGCGGGGUAACGGCCCACCGAGCCCUCGAUCGUAGGGGUUCUGAGAGGAAGGUCCCCCACACUGGUACUGAGACACGGACCAGACUCCUACGGGAGGCAGCAGUGAGGAAUAUUGGUCAAUGGGCGUAAGCCUGAACCAGCCAAGUAAGCGUGCAGGAUGACGGCCCUAUGGGUUGUAAACUGCUUUUAUACGGGGAUAAAGUGAGGGACGUGUCCCUUUUUGUAGGUACCGUAUGAAUAAGGACCGGCUAAUUCCGUGCCAGCCGCUGC